Molecule: non-coding RNA, 29 nt
Filed under: Mus musculus (house mouse)
Lineage: Eukaryota; Metazoa; Chordata; Mammalia; Rodentia; Muridae
Also listed under: 1 other name
Source: RNAcentral
UCUAAGUGAUUCUGAAGUUUGGGACUGAG